Molecule: ribosomal RNA, 267 nt
Filed under: Sphingomonas sp. rp14
Lineage: Bacteria; Pseudomonadati; Pseudomonadota; Alphaproteobacteria; Sphingomonadales; Sphingomonadaceae
Description: partial 16S ribosomal RNA
Rfam family: Bacterial small subunit ribosomal RNA
Source: RNAcentral
AGAGUUUGAUCCUGGCUCAGAACGAACGCUGGCGGCAUGCCUAACACAUGCAAGUCGAACGAUUGCCUUCGGGUGAUAGUGGCGCACGGGUGCGUAACGCGUGGGAAUCUGCCCUUAGGUUCGGAAUAACAGCUGGAAACGGCUGCUAAUACCGGAUGAUAUCGCGAGAUCAAAGAUUUAUCGCCUGAGGAUGAGCCCGCGUUGGAUUAGGUAGUUGGUGGGGUAAAGGCCUACCAAGCCGACGAUCCAUAGCUGGUCUGAGAGGAU